RNAcentral lists this ribosomal RNA (377 nucleotides) under uncultured bacterium. RNAcentral's name for it is "bacterial SSU rRNA". It matches the Rfam family "Bacterial small subunit ribosomal RNA", at positions 523 to 898 of the family's 1533-position model. The record is from RNAcentral.
AUACGUAGGUGGCGAGCGUUGUCCGGAAUUACUGGGUGUAAAGGGCGUGUAGGCGGGUUGGCAAGUCAGAUGUGAAACCCCUCGGCUUAACUGAGGGACUGCAUCUGAAACUGCUGAUCUUGAGUGCUGGAGAGGAAAGCGGAAUUCCCAGUGUAGCGGUGAAAUGCGUAGAGAUUGGGAGGAACACCAGUGGCGAAGGCGGCUUUCUGGACAGUAACUGACGCUGAGGCGCGAAAGCGUGGGGAGCAAACAGGAUUAGAUACCCUGGUAGUCCACGCCGUAAACGAUGGAUACUAGGUGUAGGAGGUAUCGACCCCUUCUGUGUCGGAGUUAACACAAUAAGUAUCCCACCUGGGGAGUACGGCCGCAAGGUUGAA